Molecule: ribosomal RNA, 886 nt
Filed under: Inocybe silvana
Lineage: Eukaryota; Fungi; Basidiomycota; Agaricomycetes; Agaricales; Inocybaceae
Description: LSU rRNA
Rfam family: Eukaryotic large subunit ribosomal RNA
Source: RNAcentral
CCCCUAGUAACUGCGAGUGAAGCGGGAAAAGCUCAAAUUUGAAAUCUGGCAGUUUUUGACUGUCCGAGUUGUAAUCUAGAGAAGUGUUACCUGUGCUGGACCAUGUACAAGUCUUCUGGAAUGGAGCAUCAUAGAGGGUGAGAAUCCCGUCUUUGACAUGGACUGCCUGUGCAUUAUGGUGCGCUCUCAAAGAGUCGAGUUGUUUGGGAUUGCAGCUCAAAAUGGGUGGUAAAUGCCAUCUAAAGCUAAAUAUUGGCGAGAGACCGAUAGCGAACAAGUACCGUGAGGGAAAGAUGAAAAGAACUUUGGAAAGAGAGUUAAACAGUACGUGAAAUUGCUGAAAGGGAAACGCUUGAAGUCAGUCGCAUCAGCCAGAAAUCAGCCUUGCUUUUGCUUGGUGUACUUUCUGGUUUUCUGAUGGGCCAGCAUCAAUUUUGACCAUUGCACAAAGUCUUUGGGAAUGUGGCAUCCUCGGAUGUGUUAUAGCCCAUUGUCGUAUAUGGUGGUUGGGAUUGAGGAACUCAGCAUGCCUUCUGCAAAGGGGGCCAGGUCUUUGGACCAUGUCCAUGCUUAGGAUGCUGGCAUAAUGGCUUUAAUCGACCCGUCUUGAAACACGGACCAAGGAGUCUAACAUGCCUGCGAGUGUUUGGGUGGAAAACCCAUUCGCGCAAUGAAAGUGAAAGUUGAGAUCUCUGUAAAGGAGAGCAUUGACGCCCGGACCAGACCUUCUGUGACGGAUCCGCGGUAGAGCAUGUAUGUUGGGACCCGAAAGAUGGUGAACUAUGCCUGAAUAGGGUGAAGCCAGAGGAAACUCUGGUGGAGGCUCGUAGCGAUUCUGACGUGCAAAUCGAUCGUCAAAUUUGGGUAUAGGGGCGAAAGACUAAUC